AAGGCCCGAACCCGUUCGUGAGCCGUCUCAUAAAUUGACCCAACAUCAACGGCACGGGAGCCGAUCUCUCCACGUCCCCCGCGGGAUAGGAGGUAGGCACCCACCUGUAUAUACAGGGAUCAAUGCCAGAGGCGGCAACGGCGGGUUGGGGCCCUU
Molecule: non-coding RNA, 156 nt
Filed under: Thermoleophilia bacterium
Lineage: Bacteria; Bacillati; Actinomycetota; Thermoleophilia
Description: 6S RNA
Rfam family: 6S / SsrS RNA
About the family: E. coli 6S RNA was the first non coding RNA to be sequenced, but its function was unknown until recently.
Source: RNAcentral